AUGCAAAAAAAAGACAUGUGCUACUGUAGUGCUGCCUUUUUUGUUUGUUUGUUAUGUAUCUACUAUGAUAUCUAUGUACUGUUGUCCUAUUUGAUUUCUGAGACAUGCAAAAAUAGGGCAGUGUUAUAUUUUGAUGUAGUAUUGUCCUAUUUAAAGGCACUGGUGAUUGUUUUCAUUUUUAUCUUACUAGUAAGCAUGCAUGUGCAAAUGCACGUCUCGGCUAAUAUACAAAUAUAUGUGAGAAUUAACAUGCAGUUUCUCUUAAAAAAUUUAGGCAAACAAGCCUGCUUACGUGCUAGGUUUCCAUGGCAUUUGCUGAGAGUGUAUUUGGAAAAAAGAAAAAUAAGGCCUACAUGUAAAGGUACUUCAAAAGUGUGUUCAGCAUGUAAAGCAAAAACAACUCGGUACAUUUAA
This 414-nucleotide ribosomal RNA is filed under the name Triticum aestivum (bread wheat). RNAcentral describes it as "partial small subunit ribosomal RNA". The record is from RNAcentral. Lineage: Eukaryota; Viridiplantae; Streptophyta; Magnoliopsida; Poales; Poaceae.